GUACGUUUUCACCUCGGGUGACAGGGAGACAGGUGGUGCAUGGUUGUCGUCAGCUCGUGUCGUGAGAUGUUGGGUUAAGUCCCGCAACGAGCGCAACCCCUACGUUUAGUUGCUAACGCGUGAAGGCGAGCACUCUAGACGAACUGCCGUUGACAAAACGGAGGAAGGUGGGAUGACGUCAAAUCAUCAUGCCCCUUAUGUUCUGGGCUACACACGUGCUACAAUGGCCGGUACAGACGGACGCAAAGCCGCGAGGUGGAGCAAAUCCUAAAAAGCCGGUCUCAGUUCGGAUUGCAGGCUGCAAUUCGCCUGCAUGAAGUCGGAAUCGCUAGUAAUCGCAGGUCAGCAUACUGCGGUGAAUACGUUCCCGGGCCUU
This 376-nucleotide ribosomal RNA is filed under the name uncultured Pelotomaculum sp. RNAcentral's name for it is "bacterial SSU rRNA". It matches the Rfam family "Bacterial small subunit ribosomal RNA", at positions 1007 to 1382 of the family's 1533-position model. The record is from RNAcentral. Lineage: Bacteria; Bacillati; Bacillota; Clostridia; Eubacteriales; Desulfotomaculaceae.